GACGUAGGGGGCCAGCGUUGUUCGGAAUUACUGGGUGUAAAGGGUGCGUAGGCGGGUUUUUAAGUCAGGGGUGAAAUCCUGGAGCUCAACUCCAGAACUGCCUUUGAUACUGGCGAGCUUGAGUCCGGGAGAGGUGAGUGGAACUGCGAGUGUAGAGGUGAAAUUCGUAGAUAUUCGCAAGAACACCAGUGGCGAAGGCGGCUCACUGGCCCGGUACUGACGCUGAGGUGCGAAAGCGUGGGGAGCAAACAGG
RNAcentral lists this ribosomal RNA (253 nucleotides) under uncultured bacterium. RNAcentral's name for it is "partial 16S ribosomal RNA". It matches the Rfam family "Bacterial small subunit ribosomal RNA", at positions 524 to 776 of the family's 1533-position model. The record is from RNAcentral.